AUUGAACGCUGGCGGCAGGCUUAACACAUGCAAGUCGAGCGGGGUGAUGGUGCUUGCACUAUCACUUAGCGGCGGACGGGUGAGUAAUGCUUAGGAAUCUGCCUAUUAGUGGGGGACAACAUCUCGAAAGGGAUGCUAAUACCGCAUACGUCCUACGGGAGAAAGCAGGGGAUCACUUGUGACCUUGUGUUAAUAGUUGAGCCUAAGUCGGAAUAGCUAGUUGGAGGGGUAAAGGCCUCCCAAGGCGACGAUCUGUAGCGGGUCUGAGAGGAUGAUCCGCCACACUGAGACUGAGACACGGCCCAGACUCCUACGGGAGGCAGCAGUGGGGAAUAUUGGACAAGGGGGGGAACCCUGAUCCAGCCAUGCCGCGUGUGUGAAGAAGGCCUUAUGGUUGUAAAGCACUUUAAGCGAGGAGGAGGCUCUUUUGGUUAAUACCCAAGAUGAGUGGACGUUACUCGCAGAAUAAGCACCGGCUAACUCUGUGCCAGCCGCCGCCGUAA
RNAcentral lists this ribosomal RNA (503 nucleotides) under uncultured bacterium. RNAcentral's name for it is "partial 16S ribosomal RNA". It matches the Rfam family "Bacterial small subunit ribosomal RNA", at positions 30 to 523 of the family's 1533-position model. The record is from RNAcentral.